RNAcentral lists this ribosomal RNA (2398 nucleotides) under Triticum aestivum (bread wheat). RNAcentral's name for it is "partial small subunit ribosomal RNA". The record is from RNAcentral. Lineage: Eukaryota; Viridiplantae; Streptophyta; Magnoliopsida; Poales; Poaceae.
CCCAAAACCCACCCCCCCUGUCGACGACCCUCACCGUAUACGUGGUGCUGUGGGGCCGAGGCUGGGCCGACCUGAGCGCCCUACUCCUAGCGACCGCCGUCGCCUCCUAGAUCCUAUUCCACGACGCCUCCGGUUACACGGCCGUGUCGCUGGCCGCCGACAUGCUCUUCCUCCUCCUGGUCGUGCUGUACGCGUUGUCCAGGGCCGCGCGCCUCCUCGGCCACCCUACGCCGCCCAUCCCCGACCUGCAGCCGGUGGCCGACGAGCUCGACGCCCUCAUCCGCUCCGUCCUAGCCGGCAUCUCCUCCGCCUUCCGCCGCGUCGCGCAGGGCCAGCUCGGCUCCGGGUGCGUCUUCGCCUGACUCAGCUGCUCAAGGAACCAUGAGCCUUCCUCUCCGGCCCCUUCCGCGCCAUCAUGGACGCCGCCGAGCUCCUCCUCCACAAGAUUCGCUACCAGGGCGACCAUGCCGACAACACCGUGGUGCUGGUGGUGCCCUACGCCUGCUGCGGCACACUCAUCGGCAAAGGAGGCACGCUCAUCAAGUCGUUAGCUGAAGCGACAAAGGCUGGAAUCACGGUCUCGCACCACCGAGUCUGCUACAGUUUCAAUGACAGACUGGUUAAGAUCACUGCUUUGAUUCCUUGCGGCGUCGCGCCUCCCGCCUUUGGUGUUGUUCUGGGUCUGCCCGUGCCAGAUUCGUGGCCUCGCAUGUUUAAUGGGGUGCCUUACUGUAGUCUAGAUAAUCAGCACAUGAAUGGACUGUUAAUUAAUCCGUUAAUGUACACAAGGAGUUUGUUUAAUCUAGAAAUUGUACAAAUCUGCAUCAUGCAAACUUACUUCAGGUUGUUACAUAAGGAAGGAGCUCGGGGUUCAGUUCCAAGCAAUAGGGGUUGGGUUGAUUCCUCUAGAAAUAGUCAGAUGAAUCAUUGCUGUAAUUUGUAAAGUUGUCAAGGAAAGUAGUUUAGCCAAAAUAUUUAUUGUGGGCAUUCUGUUAGCUAGUGUGCAUUGCCAAGUACAACUAUUCUACUUUGUAUGGAAUCAUCUCACUAUUCUGAACAUUUGAAACUUGCUAUGUGCAGGGUGACUAGUGAUGGGGCACGCCAAGCAGCAUCAGGGGAAGGGGGUCUCCUGCUCGAGGAGGCGAAGGAGUAGGGGCGCACCCAGCCGGCAGCCCCGUCCUGCUUGAGGGGGAGGGGCAAGAGGUGUCUGCUCCUCUGCUUCCAUUGCGACCGCGGCAGGAGCAACGUUGCUGAUGGUGACGAGUACGUGAUGGUGGCUAGUGUGGUGGACGACCCGACCAAACCAAUGAUUCAAGGCUUCUCCUGCUGCUGCUGCAUGUCUUCAUCAACUUAGUUCUUCUACAGGGAGAGAUAAAUUCUUCACUUGUUCACUGUGUAAUCUGCAGAUUACUUCCAUUAAUCACCUAGUGCUCCUGUUAGUGAGAUUCAUCUAGUAUUUCUUUUUGCAAAGAAUGCAAUGGUCUGGAGUACUUGAUCAUGGCCUGAUGGAACAUGUCGUUACAGCAGCUAGAAGCAAUCCAUUUUGUUAAAUGCAUUCUGGUUAGGAUUUGGUCAUGGCAGCACCUUGCUAUUUUCUUUUCUUUAAAUCUGGUUGCAAGUUUACUAUUUUUCCAGAACCAUCAUCUUACAUUUUGGGCAUCGGGCAUUGAAAUUUAGGCAUUUAUGUAUAAUUUUUGUUCUGGAUGUGUCCUAUGCAAACAUUACUAUUAAUUGUCAAGUUGAUUCUAAAAUAUCUCAUUAACUAAAUUUUAGAUGGUGAUUUCUAGAUUUAGUACCAAUUUAUUGUUGGCCUGGCCUAUGCUCAGUACCUUGCUCUAUACCAAUUUAUUGCAUUAUUCUGUUAUUUACGGUUAAAUAUGCUAUCAUUAACUUUGAGAAAAUGUUAUGUUUUUGCUGAUUAGUGGCAGUACAUCUUUGCUUUACUAUUCCUAGCAGCUGCAGUUCAUCUACCAUAAACAUGUUGUGUACAUUCUGAACCCCCAAACAUGACACAAGUGAUAUGUAUAUGCAACAGGGAAUCGUCAACUUGUACAGUUUGUUUACUGGAAUGUAACUUGUACAAUUUUUACUUGAAUAUGUUCAGUUAUGAAGUUGUGUAGUUUUUUUUUCUCAUCAGUUCUAAACUGCAGUACUUUACUGAAUUGUCGAUGAUGUUGAAUGAAUCUAGCUUGUUGGGUUCAGUCUCUUGUUUAGAGUAAAUUCAAGUCGGAAGAUGUUCAAAGAAGCUCCAAGACAUUCUCUUAUAUAGCAAGUUAUGUAAUAAUAGCGAGUUAUCUGGGAAUUUAAUGUAUCUUCUCUCUGUUUGUGAAUGAAAUAGUAAUUAUGUAUGUGAAUUAAUGUAUCUUCUCUUUGUUUGUGAAUUUCAUGUAUGUUUCAG